AGAGUUUGAUCAUGGCUCAGGAUGAACACUGGCGGCGUGCUUAAUGCAUGCAAGUCGAACGGAGAGUAGGGCUUCGGCCCUAUUUCUCAGUGGCGGACGGGUGAGUAACACGUAACUAACCUGCCCUCGGGUGGGGGAUAACUCGCCGAAAGGCGAGCUAAUACCGCAUAAAGUGCUGGGGUAACGCCCAAGCAUCAAAGCCUUCGGGCGCCUGUGGAGGGGGUUGCGGCCUAUCAGGUAGUUGGUGAGGUAAUGGCUCACCAAGCCAUCGACGGGUAGCUGGUCUGAGAGGAUGAUCAGUCACACUGGGACUGAGAUACGGCCCAGACUCCUACGGGAGGCAGCAGCAAGGAAUUUUGCGCAAUGCCCGAAAGGGUGACGCAGCAAUGCCGCGUGGGUGAUGAAGGCCUUCGGGUCGUAAAACCCUUUUCUUGGGGAAGAAGAUCUGACGGUACCCAAGGAACAAGCCUCGGCUAAUCACGUGCCAGCAGCCGCGGUGAUACGUGAGAGGCGAGUGUUAUCCGGAUUUACUGGGCGUAAAGGGCGCGUAGGCGGCCCGGCAAGUCUUCUGUAAAAUCUCCCGGCUCAACUGGGAGGGUGCAGAGGAUACUACCGGGCUUGAGGACAGCAGGGGGAGGAGGAAUUCCCGGUGGAGCGGUGAAAUGCGUAGAUAUCGGGAAGAACACCAAUGGCGAAGGCGACCUCCUGGGCUGUUCCUGACGCUGAGGCGCGAAAGCGUGGGGAUCAAACAGGAUUAGAUACCCUGGUAGUCCACGCCGCAACCGAUGGACACUAGGUAUGGGGGGUAUCGACCCUCUCCGUGCCGUAGUUAACGCGUUAAGUGUCCCGCCUGGGGAUUACGGCCGCAAGGCUAAAAUUCAAAGGAAUUGACGGGGGCCCGCA
RNAcentral lists this ribosomal RNA (903 nucleotides) under uncultured candidate division MSBL5 bacterium. Its description in RNAcentral is "bacterial SSU rRNA". It matches the Rfam family "Bacterial small subunit ribosomal RNA", at positions 8 to 925 of the family's 1533-position model. The record is from RNAcentral.